Molecule: ribosomal RNA, 227 nt
Filed under: uncultured crenarchaeote
Lineage: Archaea; Thermoproteati; Thermoproteota
Description: partial 16S ribosomal RNA
Rfam family: Archaeal small subunit ribosomal RNA
Source: RNAcentral
ACGGUGAGGGAUGAAAGCUGGGGGAGCAAACCGGAUUAGAUACCCGGGUAGUCCCAGCUGUAAACGAUGCAGACUCGAUGAUGCAAUGGCAUAGAGCUAUUGCAGUAUCGCAGGGAAGCCGUUAAGUCUGCCGCCUGGGAAGUACGUACGCAAGUAUGAAACUUAAAGGAAUUGGCGGGGGAGCACCACAAGGGGUGAAGCCUGCGGUUCAAUUGGAGUCAACGCCU